AGAGAGAGACAUGCGCGCAUAUCAAUAAGCGGAGGAAAAGAAACUAACUAGGAUUCCCUCAGUAACGGCGAGUGAAGCGGGAAGAGCUCAAAUUUGAAAUCUUCAAGGUUUUACCUUGACGAAUUGUAGUUUAAAGAAGUGUUUUCUGUUAGGAGUUAGGUAAAAGUUCUUUGGAAUAGGACAUCAUAGAGGGUGAGAAUCCCGUAUUUGACCAUUAUUUCCAGCUUUGUGAUACACUUUCAAAGAGUCGGAUUGUUUGGGAAUGCAGUCCAAAAUGGGUGGUAAAUUUCAUCUAAAGCUAAAUAUUGGCGAGAGACCGAUAGCGAACAAGUACCGUGAGGGAAAGAUGAAAAGAACUUUGAAAAGAGAGUUAAACAGUACGUGAAAUUGUCAAAAGGGAAGCGUUUGACACCAGUGUUGUUUUCUCGAAAAUCAAUUAAAAAAGGCCUGGAUUUUGUGUUGUAUUGACCUAUAAGCUUUCUGCACUCUUCUCUUGUCUUUUUUAAUGCACUUUUCGUUUAACAAGUCAACAUCAAUUUCUUUUGUUGUAAAAGGGUCAUUGGAAGGUGGCUUUCUUUUCGGAGAAAGUGUUUAUAGCCUUUGGCCUCUGCAAUCGGAGAGAUUGAGGUCUGCAGCGUAGAUCCUUCGGGGUUAGAUACAUUUGUGCUAAGUUAUAGCUUUUCAUAGACAACAUGUUGACUAUGAUUAGUCAUGUAGCUUACUCGCUUAUGCUAUUUUACCUACGCUUAGGAUGUUGACAGCAGUAUAGACUGU
Molecule: ribosomal RNA, 774 nt
Filed under: uncultured Neocallimastigales
Lineage: Eukaryota; Fungi; Neocallimastigomycota; Neocallimastigomycetes; Neocallimastigales
Description: partial large subunit ribosomal RNA
Rfam family: Eukaryotic large subunit ribosomal RNA
Source: RNAcentral